AGUGAACGCUGGCUGUAGGCCUAACGCAUGCAAGUCGAACGGCAGCACAGUAAGAGCUUGCUCUUACGGGUGGCGAGUGGCGGACGGGUGAGGAAUACAUCGGAAUCUACUUUUUCGUGGGGGAUAACGUAGGGAAACUUACGCUAAUACCGCAUACGACCUACGGGUGAAAGCAGGGGAUCUUCGGACCUUGCGCGAUUGAAUGAGCCGAUGUCGGAUUAGCUAGUUGGCGGGGUAAAGGCCCACCAAGGCGACGAUCCGUAGCUGGUCUGAGAGGAUGAUCAGCCACACUGGAACUGAGACACGGUCCAGACUCCUACGGGAGGCAGCAGUGGGGAAUAUUGGACAAUGGGCGCAAGCCUGAUCCAGCCAUACCGCGUGGGUGAAGAAGGCCUUCGGGUUGUAAAGCCCUUUUGUUGGGAAAGAAAAGCAGCAGGUUAAUACCCCGCUGUUCUGACGGUACCCAAAGAAUAAGCACCGGCUAACUUCGUG
This 492-nucleotide ribosomal RNA is filed under the name uncultured bacterium. RNAcentral's name for it is "partial 16S ribosomal RNA". It matches the Rfam family "Bacterial small subunit ribosomal RNA", at positions 29 to 507 of the family's 1533-position model. The record is from RNAcentral.